Xiphophorus hellerii (green swordtail) is the source of this 564-nucleotide non-coding RNA. NCBI's taxonomy places the organism in Eukaryota, Metazoa, Chordata, Actinopteri, Cyprinodontiformes, Poeciliidae. The record is from the annotation of a RefSeq genome assembly.
GAACAGAAACUCCCAUCAGAUCACCUUCAACACCAACAUGUUCUCUGUAGCUCUGCUUCUUUUGCUGGCUGCUGCAUCCAAUGUGAAAUGUGAACAACUGACACAACCAGCUGCAAUGACUGUGCAGCCGGGUCAACGUCUGACCAUCAGAUGUCAGGUUUCUUAUGAUCUGAGCUACUGGACAGCUUUUAUCAGACAGGCUGCUGGGAAAGGACUGGAGUGGAUUGGGAUGAAUGAUAGCGAUGGAAAUUUACGCUUAAAAGAUUCACUGAAGAACAAGUUCAGUAUCGAUGUAGACACCAGCAGCAACACAGUGACUCUAAAUGGACAGAAUAUGCAGCCUGAAGACUCUGCUGUGUAUUACUGUGCCAGAGCUCCACAGUGACACAAACCAGCACCAGAGCCGUACAAAAACCCCUCUCAGCCUAAACUGAUGCUUUACUAGUAAACAACCAGAGGGGGCGUCUUAAGAUCACUACAGAAUUUAACAAUUUUCUAAAAGAACGCCUUGCAGUUUUCACUAUUCAUCUAUACACUGACAAUAUUAACAUUACAGUCAGUUAG